Molecule: ribosomal RNA, 253 nt
Filed under: uncultured bacterium
Lineage: Bacteria
Description: partial 16S ribosomal RNA
Rfam family: Bacterial small subunit ribosomal RNA
Source: RNAcentral
AACGUAGGGACCGAGCGUUAUCCGGAUUUACUGGGCGUAAAGCGCGUUCAGGCGGUUUGGCAAGUCGGGCAUGAAAUCUCUCGGCUCAACCGGGAGAGGUUGUCCGAUACUUCCAAACUUGAGGGCAGUAGAGGGUGGUGGAAUUCCGGGUGUAGUGGUGAAAUGCGUAGAUAUCCGGAGGAACACCGAUGGCGAAGGCAAUCCCCUGGGCCUGCACUGACGCUCAUGCACGAAAGCGUGGGGAGCAAACAGG